CUGGGAGGACCAUCUCCUAAGGCUAAAUACUCUCUAGUGACCGAUAGUGAACCAGUACCGUGAGGGAAAGGUGAAAAGCACCCCGGAAGGGGAGUGAAAUAGAACCUGAAACCGUGUGCUUACAAGUAGUCAGAGCCCGUUAAUGGGUGAUGGCGUGCCUUUUGUAGAAUGAACCGGCGAGUUACGAUUUGAUGCAAGGUUAAGCAGUAAAUGUGGAGCCGUAGCGAAAGCGAGUCUGAAUAGGGCGUUUAGUAUUUGGUCGUAGACCCGAAACCAGGUGAUCUACCCUUGGUCAGGUUGAAGUUCAGGUAACACUGAAUGGAGGACCGAACCGACUUACGUUGAAAAGUGAGCGGAUGAACUGAGGGUAGCGGAGAAAUUCCAAUCGAACCUGGAGAUAGCUGGUUCUCUCCGAAAUAGCUUUAGGGCUAGCCUCAAGUGAUGAUUAUUGGAGGUAGAGCACUGUUUGGACGAGGGGCCCCUCUCGGGUUACCGAAUUCAGACAAACUCCGAAUGCCAAUUAAUUUAACUUGGGAGUCAGAACAUGGGUGAUAAGGUCCGUGUUCGAAAGGGAAACAGCCCAGACCACCAGCUAAGGUCCCAAAAUAUAUGUUAAGUGGAAAAGGAUGUGGCGUUGCCCAGACAACUAGGAUGUUGGCUUAGAAGCAGCCAUCAUUUAAAGAGUGCGUAAUAGCUCACUAGUCGAGUGACA
This 712-nucleotide ribosomal RNA is filed under the name Staphylococcus aureus. RNAcentral describes it as "partial 23S ribosomal RNA". It matches the Rfam family "Bacterial large subunit ribosomal RNA", at positions 444 to 1158 of the family's 2925-position model. Lineage: Bacteria; Bacillati; Bacillota; Bacilli; Caryophanales; Staphylococcaceae. The record is from RNAcentral.